RNAcentral lists this ribosomal RNA (329 nucleotides) under uncultured eukaryote. RNAcentral describes it as "partial 18S ribosomal RNA". It matches the Rfam family "Eukaryotic small subunit ribosomal RNA", at positions 1470 to 1796 of the family's 1831-position model. The record is from RNAcentral.
CCCUUAGAUGUCCUGGGCUGCACGCGCGCUACACUGACGAACUCAACGAGCUUAUCACCUUGGCAGAGAUGUCUGGGUAAUCUUUUGAAAGUUCGUCGUGCUGGGGAUAGAUGAUUGUAAUUAUUCGUCUUGAACGAGGAAUUCCUAGUAAGUGUGAGUCAUCAGCUCGCGCUGAUUACGUCCCUGCCCUUUGUACACACCGCCCGUCGCUCCUACCGAUUGAAUGGUCCGGUGAGGUUCUCGGAUUUUUUCUGUUGUUUGGUUCGCUAAACGAUUGAAGAGAGAAGUUACCCAAACCUUACCAUUUAGAGGAAGGAGAAGUCGUAACG